AGUGGAAACCCGCAUGAUGUGAAUUCAAUCUCCUUUGGAAAUCAGCCUCUCAGUAACUUCUGUGCAUCAGAUGCUUUUAUGUGCUUUGUGAGCAGAUGGAAGGAAUGUAUUGAAUUUCCCAAGGGCUGUCUUGGGGGAAUGGCUGCACCUUUAGCAGUUUUCAGCAAAGGAUUUGAAAAGUAAUGAGAUCCAUUGUAUGUCUAGGAAAUACUAUCCGCCAUUACUGCGACUUGUUGUCUGAAACCGUGACUGAAGAUGGCAUCUCCCGCCUGUAUGAAGCUUUUCAGGAAGUGCCUUUGACAUCUGACAGGACCACAGGGUGCAUCCUCAGGAGACAUUACAAAUGGCUGCAGAAGCUUGCAAAUCUUGUGUCGGGUUCUGCAUUUGACUAGGGAACUGUGACCGACACGGAAGACCUCUUUGUCCUGCUAUGACAUCUAGAGGCUAACAGGAGCCAACUGAGCCCACCGCCGAUCACAUCUCUUGUGAGACGCCAAAGCAGCUGUUGCCUGGGAAGGAGGAGACAGAAGAGGCAGAGCAGGAUGUGCCGGGUGCACCAGCCACACAGAACCCCAUAGUCUAGGCGGAGGAAGCCAAGCCCCUCCCCAGCCCUGCCGGACAUGCUACAGCUGGAGCACCCGUGUGAAAGGGAGCAGCUCAGCUCUGUCUAGGCAGAGCGCCGAAAAUGGAGGAUGCACAUUGUGGGCUCCAGUCCAGAAGCAGCUGAAGCCCCUGAAUGCAGAGCCGCGAGAAGCCAAGACCCAGCCGCAUCCCCAAGGCCCUGCAGACGUGCAGGGGAGAUUGGAGUCUCUGGGAGUUUCCUAUGCCGGGAGCCCAGAGACCCCCAGCCCAUGGCCUAGAGACAUCUUGUAGGAAGUAACCUGGGUGAACCAGCCAUUGUCAUGCUGAGUGACGUCAGAUGUUCUGGUUGGAUCCCCACUGAAUCAAUGGCAAACACAUUGGCCAUGGACAAGGCCUUGGGCUAGGAGCCGGUGGAGUAACAAGGGCCCGGGUCCCCCUGCCCUGGCUGCCAUCCGUCCUUGGGUGGCAGCCCACCUCCCCAGUAUGCCACUAGACUGCACAGCCCAAAGAGGAGGGGCAGCCAUCUUGUCUCUGAACUCUCAGCUAAA
Non-coding RNA from Chrysemys picta bellii (western painted turtle), 1130 nucleotides. Lineage: Eukaryota; Metazoa; Chordata; Testudines; Emydidae. The record is from RefSeq and is a predicted model, not a curated record.